RNAcentral lists this ribosomal RNA (751 nucleotides) under Plantibacter sp. RNAcentral describes it as "bacterial SSU rRNA". It matches the Rfam family "Bacterial small subunit ribosomal RNA", at positions 84 to 847 of the family's 1533-position model. The record is from RNAcentral. Lineage: Bacteria; Bacillati; Actinomycetota; Actinomycetes; Micrococcales; Microbacteriaceae.
CUUGGGGAUUAGUGGCGAACGGGUGAGUAACACGUGAGUAACCUGCCCUUGACUCUGGGAUAAGCGUUGGAAACGACGUCUAAUACCGGAUACGAGCUUCCACCGCAUGGUGAGUUGCUGGAAAGAAUUUUGGUCAAGGAUGGACUCGCGGCCUAUCAGCUUGUUGGUGAGGUAAUGGCUCACCAAGGCGACGACGGGUAGCCGGCCUGAGAGGGUGACCGGCCACACUGGGACUGAGACACGGCCCAGACUCCUACGGGAGGCAGCAGUGGGGAAUAUUGCACAAUGGGCGAAAGCCUGAUGCAGCAACGCCGCGUGAGGGACGACGGCCUUCGGGUUGUAAACCUCUUUUAGCAGGGAAGAAGCGAGAGUGACGGUACCUGCAGAAAAAGCACCGGCUAACUACGUGCCAGCAGCCGCGGUAAUACGUAGGGUGCAAGCGUUGUCCGGAAUUAUUGGGCGUAAAGAGCUCGUAGGCGGUUUGUCGCGUCUGCUGUGAAAUCCCGAGGCUCAACCUCGGGUCUGCAGUGGGUACGGGCAGACUAGAGUGCGGUAGGGGAGAUUGGAAUUCCUGGUGUAGCGGUGGAAUGCGCAGAUAUCAGGAGGAACACCGAUGGCGAAGGCAGAUCUCUGGGCCGCUACUGACGCUGAGGAGCGAAAGGGUGGGGAGCAAACAGGCUUAGAUACCCUGGUAGUCCACCCCGUAAACGUUGGGCGCUAGAUGUGGGGACCAUUCCACGGUUUCCGUGUC